AGUCGACGGUGAACACGGAGCUUGCUCUGUGGGAUCAGUGGCGAACGGGUGAGUAACACGUGAGCAACCUGCCCCUGACUCUGGGAUAAGCGCUGGAAACGGCGUCUAAUACUGGAUACGAGUAGCGGCCGCAUGGUCAGUUACUGGAAAGAUUUUUUGGUUGGGGAUGGGCUCGCGGCCUAUCAGCUUGUUGGUGAGGUAAUGGCUCACCAAGGCGUCGACGGGUAGCCGGCCUGAGAGGGUGACCGGCCACACUGGGACUGAGACACGGCCCAGACUCCUACGGGAGGCAGCAGUGGGGAAUAUUGCACAAUGGGCGGAAGCCUGAUGCAGCAACGCCGCGUGAGGGAUGACGGCCUUUCGGGUUGUAAACCUCUUUUAGCAGGGAAGAAGCGAAAGUGACGGUACCUGCAGAAAAAGCGCCGGCUAACUACGUGCCAGCAGCCGCGGUAAUACGUAGGGCGCAAGCGUUAUCCGGAAUUAUUGGGCGUAAAGAGCUCGUAGGCGGUUUGUCGCGUCUGCUGUGAAAUCCCGAGGCUCAACCUCGGGCCUGCAGUGGGUACGGGCAGACUAGAGUGCGGUAGGGGAGAUUGGAAUUCCUGGUGUAGCGGUGGAAUGCGCAGAUAUCAGGAGGAACACCGAUGGCGAAGGCAGAUCUCUGGGCCGUAACUGACGCUGAGGAGCGAAAGGGUGGGGAGCAAACAGGCUUAGAUACCCUGGUAGUCCACCCCGUAAACGUUGGGAACUAGUUGUGGGGUCCAUUCCACGGAUUCCGUGACGCAGCUAACGCAUUAAGUUCCCCGCCUGGGGAGUACGGCCGCAAGGCUAAAACUCAAAGGAAUUGACGGGGACCCGCACAAGCGGCGGAGCAUGCGGAUUAAUUCGAUGCAACGCGAAGAACCCUUACCAAGGCUUGACAUAUACGAGAACGGGCCAGAAAUGGUCAACUCUUUGGACACUCGUAAACAGGUGGUGCAUGGUUGUCGUCAGCUCGUGUCGUGAGAUGUUGGGUUAAGUCCCGCAACGAGCGCAACCCUCGUUCUAUGUUGCCAGCACGUAAUGGUGGGAACUCAUGGGAUACUGCCGGGGUCAACUCGGAGGAAGGUGGGGAUGACGUCAAAUCAUCAUGCCCCUUAUGUCUUGGGCUUCACGCAUGCUACAAUGGCCGGUACAAAGGGCUGCAAUACCGCGAGGUGGAGCGAAUCCCAAAAAGCCGGUCCCAGUUCGGAUUGAGGUCUGCAACUCGACCUCAUGAAGUCG
This 1260-nucleotide ribosomal RNA is filed under the name Microbacterium sp. RNAcentral describes it as "bacterial SSU rRNA". It matches the Rfam family "Bacterial small subunit ribosomal RNA", at positions 60 to 1328 of the family's 1533-position model. The record is from RNAcentral. Lineage: Bacteria; Bacillati; Actinomycetota; Actinomycetes; Micrococcales; Microbacteriaceae.